Molecule: RNA transcript, 4844 nt
Organism: Triticum aestivum (bread wheat)
Lineage: Eukaryota; Viridiplantae; Streptophyta; Magnoliopsida; Poales; Poaceae
Exons: 11
Source: RefSeq, a predicted model, not a curated record
UAGCGCAGGGUACUGUUCAGCUAGAGUCAAGGAUAAACAACUAUCGGACACUCCAGGAGGCAGCCCGUGACUCUGGUCCAUGUGCGUUCCUCCUCUUGCCUCUAGGAGCAGGCUAGGCGGGGGAGGGGGGUUCAUCUAAGGCAGAGCAUGGAGAGAACCCAAAUCUGAGCGGGAGGCUGGAGUUUCUGGUACAAGAGGAGGCGCCGGGACGGGCGGGAAUCCAGCGCCGGGCCGCAGCGGGCACCGCCUCUGUCAUCUCGCGCCGCGGGCCAUUGUACGGAUCUAGCACAGGCCAGAUUAGGUCCGCGGACAGCUCGGUCACGGGGAUGGGCUGUGCCAUGGCACAGGUCGUUAGUCCAGGGAGCGUGGAAAUCCAAAGCCGUCAACCCGUCGGCGUGGCCCCGUCAUUGCGGGGUUGCUCUUGGAUCUUGAGGGAACGAGGGCGGCGUCGAGGACGGCUUGCGGUGUGGUAGAAUGGAGGAGAGCGACCUGGAGUUCGUGCUAGAUCUGGUGGACAGAUUCCCACUUCGAGAAGAGUUCGCGGAUAACCUUGAGCACCCGGAUCCGGUGCCGCUGAGGCUGCUGCCCAGGGGGAGGCUGGCGCUCUUGGCCCGGAGGAUUCAAAUGGUGAAUCUGGUUAAUCGGGAGGCACCUCGAUGGACGAAAAGGUUAGAUGUCGAAAGGUUUUUAGAAUUUCACAUAAGAGGAGCGUUGCCACGAACCAGGUUACAUAUCAGGAGUCCGUGGAUUAAAUGUUUUGACAAACCAGUUAACAAUUUCCUGAGAAAACGCUACGGUCUGCAACACACCAGUUUUGUGUCAAUUGACUGGACGAAGCAUUAUUGCUGCAGCUUAAGAGGGAGUGCACUGCCAGACAGAACUUCGUGCGCUCCACGGAUGAACGCACUGGACCAAUCUGUACGGAAGUUUGCUGAGGAACCGACAAAGAGUGUGAUUAAACCAGAAUUAGGAAUAAGUUUCGAUUCUUUGGACGAUGCAUACGACUUCUACAGUCUGUAUUCAUGGGAAGUUGGAUUCGGUAUUAGAUAUGGGCAAAGCUGACUGAAUGCAGAAAGAAUCAAGUCGAUGCAGGAGAUAGUGUGCGGUUGCUCGCUAAGUUGUGGGAGCUAUGUGCGGUUGUCUCCACUGCAUAUGAACCUGAGUCUGGUAUGUUUGGAUUGAAUGCAGAUGAGCUUUGUAAGGAAGAAGUCCUUGUACAUCUCUCAUUUUGUUUUAAGUACACGUACGCAUAGCUCAAAAUAGAAUAGAUUUAAUUGUAUAAUAAUAGCAAUACAUGAACCGCAAAUGCUCAACAAAGUUUUUCUUUCAUGAUAGGAAACAAACACGUGACACGUCUGACAUUGGCGACAUGGGAGACUAUGCAUAUUACCCUGUCCGGCCGGGCGUUGGAAAAAACUUGUCUCAGAUACGUCUCGUUUCACAUGCAGCUUUAUAUGAUGCGGGAUUUUCUAUGACAAAAAUUACGAAUAUGGUGUACAAAUGACCACAGAAGAUCACCAACGAGUCACUGCGCGCAUCACGGGCCCACGGCCUCACGGGCAUGGCUCCGCAUACUGUGUGAGCGGAAACGACCAAACCUGUGCAGAGUGUAGGCUCACGUCGAUUCAACCCGUCGCCUAGGCUCGUAACAGGCAUCUGUAACGGUAAUAGGAGUACGUAAAACUGGAUUCCGUGACGGACAUCUCGAGGUACAACACAACGAUUCAAGCGCUAAGAUAACGCGACCCCGGUUCAGCUGUUCUAAAAUUCCGCAUCCGAGGAUGGUCGCUGGCCGGUCGCGGCGGGGCGCGAGGAGGAGAGAGCCAUGGAGGGCUUGCCGGAUCUGGGGAGGAGAGGGCCACGGUGACCUCGGUAGGCAGCGGGGAAGAUGGAUCCCGCUGCCGAGGAGGACGGCAAACAGAGGCCGGGGGCAGCCCGAUCCGGCGAGAGGGAGGCCGGGGACGGCCUGAUCCGGCGGCAAGGGAGGCCGGGGGAGGCCCGAAUUUGGCGGCGAGGGAGGCUGGGGGCGGCCAAUCCGGCGACGAGGGAUGCUGGGGAUGAUGGUGGUUGGUGCGGAAAUUCAAGGGCCUCCGGGGUGGGGCGGGGCCCGGGCGGCGGGAGCGGUGGCUUCAGGGCAAGGCGGAGGAGGUUGCGGUGGCUCGGCGGAUCGAGGCUGGGCUGGGUGGUCGGUGUGGCAGCGCGUAGAGGAAGGCAGGGUGGUGCGGGGCUGUGGCAACCGCAGGAGGAAGAAGGUGGGAGGGGAGGUGGGUUGUGUGUGAGCGUGGGGGUGGGGGUGGGUCGUGUUGGGCACUAGUGGGGUAGGUGGUAGGUUUUUUCACCGUGCAGUUCGGUUCCGGGCACUCGUGCGGUUGUUUUUUGUUAUCAGAAUAAGCCGUGUUAUUAGAAUAAGACUCUUAAGGGGUGUUAUCAUAAUAGACCCAUAUAUAUAUAUAUAUAUAUAUAUAUAUAUAUAUAUAUAUAUAUAUAUAUAUAUAUAUAUUUGAGAUGUUGAGUUUUGUAGCUAUAUAUAUGAGAUGUUGAUUUUUUUAGAUAUAACAUAGAUGUUGAGUUUAUUUGAAAUAUGAGAUGUUGAGUUUAUUUGAACACAUAUGACAUACGAGAUAUAUAUGAGAAUUUACAAUCAUCUAUUCAUUGUGUGAGAAGGAGAUGUUGAGAUUCUUAUAGAUUAAUACAUAUGAGAUGUUUAGUCUGUACCGAUAUUUGAGAUAAACUCAUAUAUUGUUUGAACUUUGUAAGGAUGGUUUGGCUUCUCGACGAUGCCUAUGACACACAACACUGGGCCUACAUGAUGCGCGAGAAGGGGCUGAAGCUUGAGCCUCUGAAGAUUUGGUAUCACGGGGUCUCUGGUCCUGCCAUGCCGUACGACGAGCGGUACACACCGUACAUCCAGUAGGCAGGACUCCUCCCGUGGAUUCAGUUGGUCAGCCAGUCCACGCCGAACCUCAACGCUCCACUGGUGUCUGCUCUUGCUGAUCGGUGGAGGCCGGAGACGCACAAUUUCCAUUUUAGGACUAGAGAGAUGACCGUGACGCUCGAGGAUGUCUCCUUGAUCACUGGUCUUGCUAUCGAUGGGAGGCCUCUCUGUAUGAGCACCGAUUCUGAUGGGUGGCGCCAGCAGAUGAUUGCUCUUAUUGGUAUGGCUCCUACCGAGGCUGAGGCUGAUGUAGAGGAGGGAGAAAAGAAGAAGAAGAAGAAGGAAAGGAAAGCAACCGGAGCUGCUUUCACGUGGAUUCAAAGGAACUUUGCGCAUUGCCCUGCGGAUGCCAAUGAUGAUGUGAUCCAGACACAUGCUCAUGUCUAUAUGUGGUACGUUGUCUCGAGGACUUUGUUUCCCGAGUCCACGGGCAAGAACGCUCCAUGGAUGUGGCUGAAGGCGUUGACCGUCUUCGAUAGCAGAUGGAGCUGGGGUUCAGCCACUCUUGCAUAAUUGUACCUUGCUGUCAAGUUAACAUUGUUUUCUUUCAUAUGUAGCUGGAUGAUGUGUGUAGCAGGAUCACAGAUAGGGCAGGCAUUGGUGGUAAUAUGCUUCUACUUUCUAUAUGGAGCUGGGAGCGUCUGCCUGUUGGACACCCGAAGAGCGCGAAGUUUAAUCCUUGGGAUGAAGACGACGAAUUACGGCGCCCCACUUGGGCUUACAAGUGGGAUGUGGUGGCGGAGAUGACGAACGAUGUCAAUCUCAUGUACCAAAAGUGCAUUGCCGAGUUGGACACGAUUUCUCCUGAGUGCAAUGACAGCCAUAUGGCGCCAAUGACACAGUAGGGUACACUCUAGAGUUUGCCAUCAACCCGAUGCGCUUGCGGGGUAGGGAUCUUUGGCUCAUAUAGUGGCCACUAAUAUGCAACUGGGCGGUUGAGCUCCAUUUGCCACAUCGCGUGUAUCAUCAAUUUGGUCCAUUCCAGCCUCACCUGCCGGAUUGGGCGGACACAUACAAAGCACUUCAUAAGUUGGACAGGAGAAAGUAGCGGAAGAUAAAGGACUGGGACAAGCAUCAUGCUAAUUCGUAUGUUACCCGCUUUCAUCUUUGUGUGGAGCAAGCUCAUAACAGUGCACACGCCCAGCUUCUUGAGCAUAGCUCACUUGCUUUCGAUAACUACUUACGAUGGCUUCUUGAAAAUACUCGAGUUGAGAUAUGCCCGCCGGCACACAAUGAGGACAUUCUUGAAGACCCCCUAAAAUUUGAGGAUCUAUCAAAGGGGAAGUACAAAAAAGAUGUCAAGGAAGGGCUAGGAGUCCCUUCUGUUCUGGUGAUUAACUAUGUGCGCAACCAGAUCAAGCUGAUGGAAGCCAGUCUAUUCUGGAGAAGACACUGGUUGGACAAGGCAAUGAUGAAGGUCCACUAUGGAAAUUUCUCAAGGCCUAGAAGUUAAGGCGGUUAUCGAACCUUCUCGGUUGCCGUGACCCAAAAUAUGAUGAACCAUAUGCCUCUAGGUCUGGUACACCAUCAGACCACUUAUCUCACCAUGAGGGGAACGAUGUUGAUGAGAUUGAUGACGACAUUACUUUGGCGGACGCUCAAGUUCGGUCCGCAUACAUGUUCAAGUGUAGGCAGCCCAUACGCCGGUAUACACCCACCGACUUUGACAACAGAGGCAACCCAAAGGUGGUCGCAUGGAGCUUGCGGAUGCCGAGCUUGGAUGAUGAGGCGGAGGAGGAAGUGGAGGCAGAGGAUGCUCGUCCUGGCAGGAGGAAUUAGACCGCUAGCAGGCGUGGCACAAGGAACACACAUGGAAGGCAUUAGUACUUGUCGUUUUUAUUAUGAAACUGAACUUGUCGCUGUUUCAUUAGGUUGAUGAACUUGUGAGGUUAUGUGAUGUGUUGGUGAA